Molecule: ribosomal RNA, 292 nt
Filed under: uncultured bacterium
Lineage: Bacteria
Description: partial 16S ribosomal RNA
Rfam family: Bacterial small subunit ribosomal RNA
Source: RNAcentral
GUGUCAGCAGCCGCGGUAAUACGAAGGGGGCUAGCGUUGCUCGGAUUUACUGGGCGUAAAGGGCGCGUAGGCGGACGAUUUAGUCAGAGGUGAAAGCCCGGGGCUCAACCCCGGAAUUGCCCUUGAUACUGGUCGUCUUGAGUUUGGGAGAGGUAUGCGGAACUCCGAGUGUAGAGGUGAAAUUCGUAGAUAUUCGGAAGAACACCAGUGGCGAAGGCGGCAUACUGGCCCAAUACUGACGCUGAGGCGCGAAAGCGUGGGGAGCAAACAGGAUUAGAUACCCUGGUAGUCC